GAUGAAGAACGUAGCGAAAUGCGAUAAGUAGUGUGAAUUGCAGAAUUCCGUGAAUCAUCGAAUCUUUGAACGCACAUUGCGCCUUCUGGUAUUCCGGAAGGCAUGCCUGUUCGAGAGUCAUUAACAACCGUUUCGAUCCCUUUCUUUCAGAAAUUACAAAGAGGAAAAGGGUUUGGUUAUGGUGGAGGAGGGAAAGGGAGCGUUUAGCCUGUAAAAAAAGAGGCUGUGUUCCGCCUCCCCCCCAAAAUAGUACAGGCGGUCGUGUGCGCCCACGCAUCGAGGUGUUGUAAAAGCUGCCACGGCACUUUUCACCUGUGAAGUGCGAGAUUGGCCAGCCGGUUUAAAAACCCCUCCAAACAAUCAAAGGUUGACCUCGGAUCAGGUAGGGAUACCCGCUGAACUUAAGCAUAUCAAUAAGCGGAGGA
This 425-nucleotide unclassified non-coding RNA is filed under the name soil metagenome. Its description in RNAcentral is "partial contains 5.8S ribosomal RNA, internal transcribed spacer 2, and large subunit ribosomal RNA". The stretch from base 1 to 120 matches the Rfam family "5.8S ribosomal RNA", at positions 35 to 154 of the family's 154-position model. The record is from RNAcentral.